This 505-nucleotide ribosomal RNA is filed under the name uncultured bacterium. RNAcentral describes it as "partial 16S ribosomal RNA". It matches the Rfam family "Bacterial small subunit ribosomal RNA", at positions 28 to 507 of the family's 1533-position model. The record is from RNAcentral.
GACGAACGCUGGCGGCGUGCCUAAUACAUGCAAGUAGAACGCACAGUUUAUACCGUAGCUUGCUACACCAUAGACUGUGGGUUGCGAACGGGUGAGUAACGCGUAGGUAACCUGCCUGGUAGCGGGGGAUAACUAUUGGAAACGAUAGCUAAUACCGCAUAAUAUUGAUUAUUGCAUGAUAAUUGAUUGAAAGAUGCUAUUGCAUCACUACCAGAUGGACCUGCGUUGUAUUAGCUAGUAGGUGAGGUAACGGCUCACCUAGGCGACGAUACAUAGCCGACCUGAGAGGGUGAUCGGCCGCACUGGGACUGAGACACGGCCCAGACUCCUACGGGAGGCAGCAGUAGGGAAUCUUCGGCAAUGGACGAAAGUCUGACCGAGCAACGCCGCGUGAGUGAAGAAGGUUUUCGGAUCGUAAAGCUCUGUUGUAAGAGAAGAACGGGUGUGAGAGUGGAAAGUUCACACUGUGACGGUAUCUUACCAGAAAGGGACGGCUAACUACGUG